UAGAUAGAGGCGCGGCGCGCAAAAGUAGAUCCGGCGGCAACGGGAAUCGGGCCGGAUGGAAAGGGUUCGCCGCCGAGGUGCAUACGGCCCGCCCGGGGCGCGCAUGUGCCGGGCCGCAGGGAAAGACGCUGCGGACUGUCACGGAAUUGUGGAGCGCUAUCG
This 162-nucleotide non-coding RNA is filed under the name bovine gut metagenome. RNAcentral describes it as "Lysine riboswitch". It matches the Rfam family "Lysine riboswitch aptamer". From Rfam's summary of the family: Riboswitches are metabolite binding domains within certain messenger RNAs that serve as precision sensors for their corresponding targets. Allosteric rearrangement of mRNA structure is mediated by ligand binding, and this results in modulation of gene expression. This family includes riboswitches that sense lysine in a number of genes involved in lysine metabolism, including lysC. The record is from RNAcentral.